ACCUUUUUGGUUCAUAAGCGUGUUGACUGGGUGCUCAUGCUGUUGUGUGAGAUGUACCUACCUCUGAACCUUGUUACCAUGUCAACAUAUCACCUGUCUAAUG
Sciurus vulgaris (Eurasian red squirrel) is the source of this 103-nucleotide small nucleolar RNA. NCBI's taxonomy places the organism in Eukaryota, Metazoa, Chordata, Mammalia, Rodentia, Sciuridae. The record is from Ensembl.